This 67-nucleotide transfer RNA is filed under the name Marmota monax (woodchuck). RNAcentral describes it as "tRNA.Ala". Lineage: Eukaryota; Metazoa; Chordata; Mammalia; Rodentia; Sciuridae. The record is from RNAcentral.
GGAUUGUGGCUCAGUGGUAGGGCUCUCUCCUAGCACGGGUGAGACCUGGGUUGGAUCUUCAGCACCA